This 513-nucleotide ribosomal RNA is filed under the name uncultured bacterium. RNAcentral's name for it is "partial 16S ribosomal RNA". It matches the Rfam family "Bacterial small subunit ribosomal RNA", at positions 28 to 523 of the family's 1533-position model. The record is from RNAcentral.
GACGAACGCUGGCGGCAUGCCUAAUACAUGCAAGUCGAGCGAUCAGAUGAAGUGCUUGCACUUCUGACGUUAGCGGCGAACGGGUGAGUAACACGUAAGGAAUCUACCUAUAAGCGGGGGAUAACAUUCGGAAACGGGUGCUAAUACCGCAUAAUAUCUUCUUCCGCAUGGAAGAAGAUUGAAAGACGGCUCUGCUGUCACUUAUAGAUGACCUUGCGGUGCAUUAGUUAGUUGGUGGGGUAACGGCCUACCAAGACGAUGAUGCAUAGCCGGCCUGAGAGGGUGAUCGGCCACAUUGGGACUGAGACACGGCCCAAACUCCUACGGUGGGCAGCAGUAGGGAAUCUUCCGCAAUGGGCGAAAGCCUGACGGAGCAAUGCCGCGUGAGUGAAGAAGGCCUUCGGGUCGUAAAACUCUGUUAUAAGAGAAGAACAAAUUGUAGAGUAACUGCUACAGUCUUGACGGUAUCUUAUCAGAAAGCCACGGCUAACUACGUGCCAGCCGCCGCGGUAA